UGAGCAAUCUGCCCCUCACAUCGGAAUAACCAUUGGAAACGAUGGCUAAUACCGAAUACGACUUCGGACCGCAUGGUCUGAAGUGGAAAGCUCCGGCGGUGAAGGAUGAGCUCGCGGCCUAUCAGCUUGUUGGUGAGGUAAUAGCUCACCAAGGCGAUGACGGGUAGCCGGCCUGAGAGGGUGACCGGCCACACUGGGACUGAGACACGGCCCAGACCUCUACGGGA
This 227-nucleotide ribosomal RNA is filed under the name uncultured bacterium. RNAcentral's name for it is "partial 16S ribosomal RNA". It matches the Rfam family "Bacterial small subunit ribosomal RNA", at positions 118 to 346 of the family's 1533-position model. The record is from RNAcentral.